GUGAAUCAUCGAAUCUUUGAACGCAAAUUGCACUCCCUGGUAUUCCGGGGAGUAUGCCUGUUUGAGGGUCGUUAGAAUAAAAAAUCGAUGCGGCGCUCUUUUUUUAAGGGUGAUCGCGUCUUAAUUUAGUCGUCUUUACAUGUUAAUUCAUGUCAAAUUGGCUUAAAAUUUCAUCCAUCCGGUACGAUUAAAUCGUAUUUAAGAUCAAUCUUGAUUAGUAACGCGUGGUGACGUACCAUCUCAUGUAAUACGUUUGUCUUUGCUUCGUCAG
RNAcentral lists this unclassified non-coding RNA (271 nucleotides) under Funneliformis mosseae. RNAcentral describes it as "partial contains 5.8S ribosomal RNA and internal transcribed spacer 2". The stretch from base 1 to 71 matches the Rfam family "5.8S ribosomal RNA", at positions 84 to 154 of the family's 154-position model. Lineage: Eukaryota; Fungi; Glomeromycota; Glomeromycetes; Glomerales; Glomeraceae. The record is from RNAcentral.